This 457-nucleotide ribosomal RNA is filed under the name uncultured bacterium. RNAcentral describes it as "bacterial SSU rRNA". It matches the Rfam family "Bacterial small subunit ribosomal RNA", at positions 1 to 507 of the family's 1533-position model. The record is from RNAcentral.
AUACGUAGUUUGAUCAUGGCUCAGAACGAACGCUGGCGGCAUGCCUAACACAUGCAAGUCGAACGAGACCUUCGGGUCUAGUGGCGCACGGGUGCGUAACGCGUGGGAACCUGCCCUUAGGUUCGGAAUAACUCCUCGAAAGGGGUGCUAAUACCGGAUGAUGUCGAAAGACCAAAGAUUUAUCGCCUUUGGAUGGGCCCGCGUAGGAUUAGGUAGUUGGUGGGGUAAAGGCCUACCAAGCCGACGAUCCUUAGCUGGUCUGAGAGGAUGAUCAGCCACACUGGGACUGAGACACGGCCCAGACUCCUACGGGAGGCAGCAGUGGGGAAUAUUGGACAAUGGGCGAAAGCCUGAUCCAGCAAUGCCGCGUGAGUGAUGAAGGCCUUAGGGUUGUAAAGCUCUUUUACCAGGGAUGAUAAUGACAGUACCUGGAGAAUAAGCUCCGGCUAACUCCGUG